This 460-nucleotide ribosomal RNA is filed under the name uncultured bacterium. Its description in RNAcentral is "bacterial SSU rRNA". It matches the Rfam family "Bacterial small subunit ribosomal RNA", at positions 48 to 485 of the family's 1533-position model. The record is from RNAcentral.
UCUACACAUGCAGUCGAACGGAUUUGAGGGGCUUGCUCCUCAGUUAGUGGCGCACGGGUGAGUAACGCGUAGAUAAUCUUGCCUGAUGGUCCGGGAUAACACUUCGAAAGAGGUGCUAAUACCGGAUAAGCCCACGGUAUCUUUGGAUUCUGCGGGAAAAGGGGGGGACCUUCGGGCCUUCUGUCAUCAGAUGAGUCUGCGUACCAUUAGCUAGUUGGUAGGGUAAUGGCCUACCAAGGCUACGAUGGUUAGCUGGUUUGAGAGAAUGAUCAGCCACACUGGAACUGAGACACGGUCCAGACUCCUACGGGAGGCAGCAGUGGGGAAUUUUGCGCAAUGGGCGAAAGCCUGACGCAGCAACGCCGCGUGAGUGAUGAAGGCUUUCGGGUCGUAAAGCUCUGUCGAGGGGAAAGAAAGUGUAUUGUGGCUAAUAUCCACGAUACUUGACGGUACCCCUAAA